RNAcentral lists this transfer RNA (57 nucleotides) under Loxodonta africana (African savanna elephant). It matches the Rfam family "tRNA", at positions 8 to 63 of the family's 71-position model. Rfam says of the family: Transfer RNA (tRNA) molecules are approximately 80 nucleotides in length. The record is from Rfam by way of RNAcentral. Lineage: Eukaryota; Metazoa; Chordata; Mammalia; Proboscidea; Elephantidae.
UGGCUCAAUAGUUAAGCUGUUGGCUGCUAACCAAAAGGUUGUUGGUUCAAAUCCACC